GGGUGUCCGGCAAUGGAGAGAGGAGGAGAGGAGCGGCCGUGGUGAGCGGAGCGGUGGGUGAUAGUGAGGAGGCAAAACCGGAGCUACCGCUAUAGAGGGGGAGAUCCUGAGUGCUUCUGCCGGAGAGAGACGGGGACUCCCGUGUAGCCAAGCUGCGACCCCAUCCCCCCAUUAGCCGGCUGUGAAGAAGAGGCUGGAGCGCAGGAACCAAGAGGCAGGAACGCGUCACCAGAUGAGUCGUUACCGAUCUACUGACUGAGCUUCUGCAGCGCCAGCACUAUCCUGUUAUAUGAUGGGACGUCCAUUCUCCAUCUCGCUGGUUGAAGGCGGCUCCAGUGGUAGCGGUAUCCCCUGAGGUAACAAAGAAAUCUAUUGUCCCUUGAUUCAUAUCAGUGCCUUACUAAUAACGCAAAAAAUUUAUGCGGUUCAGCAGCAUCUAGAUGCGUUCAUCCUUAGCACCAGCCAGGAAGAGCCAGUGUUUGGCAGGAAGGAAUCGCUGGGGUCUCGGUGAGAGACGAGUUGCCUAGCAACGUUGAAGUGAUUUCCGGGAUCGGCUCCCUGCCCGGCGCUGUCUGCUGACGUCAGCGCCCUGCGACCCGUGGAUCUCGCGGAUGGACGCGGUGGCGGCAGC
This is a long non-coding RNA of Pseudophryne corroboree (corroboree frog), 631 nucleotides long. RefSeq lists it as uncharacterized. The transcript has 3 exons. NCBI's taxonomy places the organism in Eukaryota, Metazoa, Chordata, Amphibia, Anura, Myobatrachidae. The record is from RefSeq and is a predicted model, not a curated record.